RNAcentral lists this ribosomal RNA (513 nucleotides) under uncultured bacterium. RNAcentral's name for it is "partial 16S ribosomal RNA". It matches the Rfam family "Bacterial small subunit ribosomal RNA", at positions 28 to 523 of the family's 1533-position model. The record is from RNAcentral.
GAUGAACGCUGGCGGCGUGCCUAAUACAUGCAAGUCGAACGCGCAGCGAAAGGUGCUUGCACCUUUCAAGCGAGUGGCGAACGGGUGAGUAACACGUGGAUAACCUGCCUCAAGGCUGGGGAUAACAUUUGGAAACAGAUGCUAAUACCGAAUAAAACUUAGUAUCACAUGAUACAAAGUUAAAAGGCGCUACGGCGUCACCUAGAGAUGGAUCCGCGGUGCAUUAGUUAGUUGGUGGGGUAAAGGCUUACCAAGACGAUGAUGCAUAGCCGAGUUGGAAGGCUGAUCGGGCACAUUGGGACUGAGACACGGCCCAAACUCCUAAGGGAGGCUGCAGUAGGGAAUCUUCCACAAUGGGCGCAAGCCUGAUGGAGCAACGCCGCGUGUGUGAUGAAGGCUUUCGGGUCGUAAAGCACUGUUGUAUGGGAAGAAAUGCUAAAAUAGGGAAUGAUUUUAGUUUGACGGUACCAUACCAGAAAGGGACGGCUAAAUACGUGCCAGCCGCCGCCGUAA